GCACUGAUGAAGAGUCCCAUACUAGGACGAAACGGCCGUCCAGUGU
This 46-nucleotide non-coding RNA is filed under the name Schistosoma margrebowiei. The record is from RNAcentral. Lineage: Eukaryota; Metazoa; Platyhelminthes; Trematoda; Strigeidida; Schistosomatidae.